AGAUAAAAUAAAGUAUAUUCUGUGUCUACUUUGGUUUGGUGGUGUUGGAAUCUAUUGCAUUUCAUGGCCAAAUGUCAUAUUCUACUUUCGGUGCCUUUUAUGGGGAUGUGGCUCUUUUUUAUAUUUUAACACUGCCUUCGACAACUUAAAGAUUUAGGUUUCCAAGAAGUGUCAUAAUAUUAUUCUCGAAUUUUAUUUUUAUUUUUUUCUCUUUUCACAUUGUUUUU
Molecule: long non-coding RNA, 227 nt
Filed under: Musa acuminata (dwarf banana)
Lineage: Eukaryota; Viridiplantae; Streptophyta; Magnoliopsida; Zingiberales; Musaceae
Description: long non-coding RNA (MACU_LNC002946)
Source: RNAcentral